UCUUGGUCCAUUUAGAGGAAGUAAAAGUCGUAACAAGGUUUCCGUAGGUGAACUGCGGAAGGAUCAUUAUUGAAAUAGCAUGACGAGUUGUCGCUGGUCUUUUCUUUGACCGUGCACGCUCUGUCGUUCUUCAUUUCUCCAUCUAUUUGUGCACCUCUUGCGUAGACCUUUUCUUGAGGGCUUUCCUCGGGUCGUUAGGACUGCUUUGCAAAAACAAUGAAUUUUUGUGGGCUUUCCUUGUCGCUACCAACACAUACACCAGUGUAAUUGUUUAGAAGGAAAUGGAAUUUGAUGCAUAAUACAACUUUCAGCAACGGAUCUCUUGGCUCUCGCAUCGAUGAAGAACGCAGCGAAAUGCGAUAAGUAAUGUGAAUUGCAGAAUUCAGUGAAUCAUCGAAUCUUUGAACGCAUCUUGCGCUCCUUGGUUAAUCCAAGGAGCAUGCCUGUUUGAGUGUCAUUAAUGUCUCAACCACACCGUGAGGUGUGGCUUGGAUUUGGGGGUUACAGGCUUAGUCUGCUCCCCUGAAAUGCAUGAGUGGUAACGACCUCUCCAUUAAGAUGUGAUACAUAUCUGCAUCUAGUUGAGGGUUUCGCUGCUAUACAAGAGUUGGAUUUGAUAAACUUGACCUCAAAUCAGGUAGGACCACCCGCUGAACUUAAGCAUAUCAAUAAGCGGAGGAAAAGAAACUAACCAGGAUUCCCUUAGUAACUGCGAGUGAAGUGGGAAGAGCUCAAAUUUGUAAUCUGGCGGCCUUUGGACGUCCGAGUUGUAAUCUAAAGAAGUGCUACCUGUGCUGGACCGUGUACAAGUCUUCUGGAAUGGAGCAUCACAGAGGGUGAGAAUCCCGUCUUUGACAUGGACUGCCAGUGCUCAAUAGGUGUGCUCUCGAAGAGUCGAGUUGUUUGGGAAUGCAGCUCAAAAUGGGUGGUAAAUGCCAUCUAAAGCUAAAUAUUGGCGAGAGACCGAUAGCGAACAAGUACCGUGAGGGAAAGAUGAAAAGAACUUUGGAAAGAGAGUUAAACAGUACGUGAAAUUGCUGAAAGGGAAACGCUUGAAGUCAGUCGCGUCCGUCGGGAAUCAACCUUGCUCUUGCUGGGUGUACUUUCUGUCGGACGGGUCAGCAUCAGUUUCGGUCGCUGGACAAAGUUCUUUGGGAAUGUGGCAUCCUCGGAUGUGUUAUAGCCCUUGGGACACAUGCAGCGGUCGGGAUUGAGGAACUCAGCACGCCCGCGAGGGCUGGGGCUUUUUGCCCACACGACUCUGCUUAGG
Molecule: ribosomal RNA, 1270 nt
Filed under: uncultured Inocybe
Lineage: Eukaryota; Fungi; Basidiomycota; Agaricomycetes; Agaricales; Cortinariaceae
Description: eukaryotic LSU rRNA
Rfam family: Eukaryotic large subunit ribosomal RNA (bases 624-1270)
Source: RNAcentral